Thunnus maccoyii (southern bluefin tuna) is the source of this 403-nucleotide long non-coding RNA. RefSeq lists it as uncharacterized. The transcript has 5 exons. Lineage: Eukaryota; Metazoa; Chordata; Actinopteri; Scombriformes; Scombridae. The record is from RefSeq and is a predicted model, not a curated record.
UAAUCACCAUAAAUCAAAGCUAAAAAUGUAGGAACCAAACAGCAACCACGCAAAAGCUAAUCUUAGCCACUACAAGCUCAGCCAUUUCAAAGAAUUAAUUUACAAGUACUACCGAUGCAAAUAAGGUGUAUGCACAGCAGCAGAAGAGCAGAAAUUAGCAGCAAGCAGAUGCUAACAUAUCAACAAACAGGUAUGUGCCCACCCAUUGUAGACUUGGGCAGCUUGCCGCCAUGUGAUCCACUACUGGGUUUAAAAGCUUAUGGCCCACAGAGAAGGGCAUAGUAUACAAUUUCCCACUGAACCCCAUCACAAGCGCACAUCACACUAUCUGGGUGCUGCAUCCUAAACAUGUCAGACACAGAAGAUGCCACAUAUGAGGAAGAACGAGAGGAGGAUAUUGUUG